RNAcentral lists this long non-coding RNA (528 nucleotides) under Homo sapiens (human). Its description in RNAcentral is "HSALNT0161218". Lineage: Eukaryota; Metazoa; Chordata; Mammalia; Primates; Hominidae. The record is from RNAcentral.
AACAGCUCGCCAGGAUAAGCCAAUGAAGAUGGGUCACACCUGGAAACAACUUCCAUCAACCCCUGGCAGGGGUAAAAAGUCAUUUGUGGAUCCCUUUCACAAAGGAACAAGUCGCCACCCGCUGGAGCUGCACCUGCACCCAGGAGGUCUACAGUGACCUGUGCAGCAGCAAAUUUGGCAGCAGAAAGCAGAGGACUCCAGGCACUGCUCAUGCCUACAGGCUGCUGGGUGAACACCCUCGCCAAAGAAGGAGACUGCAGAAAUCCUCCUUGAUGGUAUCAGCUCACUCGCUCUUAAAUGUUCAUCCACUUUUAAUUAUUUACAACUAAUAAAACAUGUAAUAACACGGUCAAAAUUAUCGGAGUAACUUCCUUUCAAAAAGCACAUGUUUGUACAGUGAUUCUUUAUAUACCUUGAAUUCAACAUAAUCUACUUUUGCAUCUCCCUGGGUUGUGGGUGGAGAAUCCGCAAAGGCACCAUCUGGACAAUGCCUGGGGCUGCAGCAGGGACUGCAGGUGUGGGCUCCAG